UCUGAUAACUAGGUAGUGCCAUGGAAGGAAAGGAAGCUUCUGUAAAGUUUGCAGUACUUCUAAUUGGAAGGAAGCAAAGGGAACCAAAAUAAACUCAGCUUGAACAAGAACCCCAGAAGGAACAUUCAUGCUUUAAACAAUGACUUUACGCAACACUGUGAAGAGGGCAAUGUUUCUGUAAGAUACUGUUAUGAAGAGCUGGUAAACUAACAUUUCUACUUCAUUUGGGGGGCAUCAAAAACAAUCUGAGUAACUAAAUGAUUAUGACCACCAAAAAAAAAAUUAUCUCAGGGUUCAAAUGUGCCUUGGCCUUAAAAAUUAUGUGCUAUUAUAAAGCAUUCUUUGUUCCUUGUCCCAUUCAUUCAGAAUGCUUAGUUAUUAAUUUUAAAUGACAUCUUCCAAUUUAGUCAUCUAAAAUAAUCUGUAUUCCCUUUAUUUUAAGGUAUGUAGUGUUCAAUAGGGUUCUUUGGUAUAAAUUUGUUUUUGUUUAAGUUUCAACAAUUAAAUUUUCAUUCAUUCAACUAAGCUGCUUUAUUCAGGCCUACAUUUUUUUUUAAAGGUAACUUUGAUCAAUUGAAUGAAAAGGGACUUAAAUUUGGAUUAGAAAUAUGCAUAAAGUUUUUUCUUGGAUUUCUCAAAUUUAUAGGUCUAUUUCUCAUAACUCAUUAUGUGCAUAUAUGAAAAUGACACAUCUGUAUACAAGCAAUAUCUAUCAAACAAUUCGGCCAUGUACAUUUGUUAAUUACUGUACUUGACAAAGGAAGGUUAAAUUAUAAUGUGAAACCUGGUUUUAUGAAACCAAAGAUGAGUGCAGCAUUUCCGUAUAUAUGGUAAAAAUAAGGGAAUCAACAUGUCACAUAUAUAAUCUAUCUUAUGUGAUAUAUAUAUAUAUAUAUAUAUAUAUAUAUAAAAUGUAUAUCUUAUGUCACAUAAAAUAUAUAAUAUUGGGAGAAAAUUUUUGUAUAUAGAUAUGUAUAUAUUAGGAGAAAAUUUGGGAGAGAAAGGAGUUCAGGCAUCCAAGAGAAUAAAGAAGGGAAUUGGACAUGUCAUUGAGAUAGAUGUAAAAUUCUUUUUUUUCUCCCUACCUAGAAUCCUGUGAGAAACAGACGAAUUUCUGGAGACACCACUUUUUUCCUCUUAUUCAUUCAAGGACUGUUCAGUGGAUGCCUUUCUGGAUACCUGCUGUGUGCCAGACAUCAGAAACAACAUCUAUACUUUAAUGAUUCUUGUGAUGCAGAGAAAGUGAGGUGGGGAGAAGACACAGGAAAUAAACACAUAUGCAAGAUAAUUUCAGAUAGUGGGAAUGUUUGGGAUGGACGAUAGCAGAAAGCAUGCUGCAAGCAGAAUCUGGGAAGGCCUCUGCAAAAGGUUGAUGUCUGAAUGGAGCCCUUAGUGGAGAGAAACCCAGCCUUGCAAAGAUGGAGGGAAGAGUGUUCAAAGCAGAGGGAGAAACUAGUGUGAAGUCCUGAGGAGGGACUUGGAAAGAACUCAUUUUGAGGUCACAUCUUGUACAAAUAACUUUGAAUCUCUGCAUUUGAAAAAAGGCUUGAGGGAUCCUUGUCCCUUAAGACUCACAGAGGAAAAGGAUUCUGUGUUGAAAUGACUUUUAGUAAUUAAAAGUGGGGUUAAGAUGAGUGCAUUUGCUGAGCAGACAUUUACUGCAAGCUCUACAGCAAGCCGGCUGGACUCAGCUGUUCCAAAUUCUGAAUAUGAGGCUCUAUGAAAGAUUAUAUUUUCCAAAGAUGGCCACAGUAAUUCUCCUAACCCACAUGCCCAUCCUUCAAUAUGACUUUGCCAUAUACAAAUUUCAAUAGAGGAGUCCAGCUUCCGUCCCUGGAAUCUGGAGGGGCUUGUGAUUAUAGUACAAGUCAUUCUAUUUGACAUUAGAGGCCAAAGGCAAUACUGUAGUCUGUCAUGUUCUAUUGGGUCGAUACUCUCGGAAGCUACAGUGAGGAAGCACAGGCUGCUAGGUGGAGUGGCUUCAUGUAGGUAACCUCAGCUGACCUCUCAACAACAUAUGGCAAAUCCUGGUUAUGUGAAUAAAGGAGACUCAUAUGACUCCUGCUCCCAUCUCUCAAGUCACUCUAGUUAUAGUGUCUUCCAGUUGAGGACCCAAAUAUUGUAGAGCAGGAAAAAGCAUUCCCUUUAUGUUCUUUCCAAUUCCUGACCCACAAGAAAGUGGUUGCUGUUUUACACCACCAAUGUUUGAUGGUUUAUCUCACAGCAGUCAACGACUGGAACAGGUGCUUAGUGUCUUCAUUGCAGCUGUGGGUGCCGAUGGUCUUUUUAGGUGG
RNAcentral lists this long non-coding RNA (2294 nucleotides) under Marmota monax (woodchuck). Lineage: Eukaryota; Metazoa; Chordata; Mammalia; Rodentia; Sciuridae. The record is from RNAcentral.